UUCACGUGUCUAGUUCACGUGUCUAGCUAUCCAUCAGAUUCUAUGACCUGCAGUGUUGGAAAAAUUACUAAUUUACUUAGGUAAAAGUAUGUAAGUAUUACCAUUACUAUUAUUACCAAGUUAAAGCUAAAGUACAAAAUUAGCAGAAAAUCGGGGUGUGACUGAUAUAUAUGAAAUACAUUUAAGUGCAUCAUUGAAUACUUAUGAGUCGGUGCAUAAGCAGCCGAUUUUCUGGAAAGUAGCACUUUUUCCAAUACUGCAGGUCACAGAAUCGACUUUUUACCGUUCUUGCUUAAAUGUUUAUUUACUUUCUCAAACUUCAUUGCAUGUCUCAGUCAAAAUGCUGGUCCAGGUGAAGUACAGCCAACAGCAGAAGUAUGUAAAGUUGGAUGAGGAUGAAGGACUGUUUGACUUUCUGCAAUUCCAUGAAAAAGUCAUGGAGAGAUUUGGCCUGCCACCUGAUGCAAAUGUUAUAUACAAAGGAUGCAACAGGGACAGAAGUUGAUGCAGAAAUAUUCAGCGACCUCGUUGGACAAGGCAAUGUGGUCCUGACAGUUUUCUCAGAUCAGGGUGAGAUAUCAAGGCAGGUAUAAUAAAGCACUCUACACCUUAGUAUAUCAUUUAAUAAUUGAAAUGUUAUUUAAUUAUCUAUUGCUUUAGAAUUCUCUGAUUUCUCCUUGUCUUCUGAGACGUCUGACUCAAGCUUCAGCUCAAGUGCAUCAACUAUAAUCCUAGAUGUUCCUAACAAGAGACAAAGAAUUGAGGAUACACGUGAUGCUGUGUCUGCUAAACAGUUGAUAGAAGCUGUGCUAAGAGGCAAGUCUGGAGGUGAAGAAGUACUACAGAAGUACCAAACAACAGAAACCCUAACAGAUGCUGCAAGAAGACAAAUGGUUAAUUUCCUGGUGGCUCACAUGAUUGACAAUCAUGGGAACACUUCUAUGAUGCUGCAAGCAGCACAGGAUACAUUUCUUGGCGUCUGAAAACAGUCCAGAGGAAGAUUCGUCAAGGAUCUGCACAGCCACUCUUUCAUCUCCUUCCACCACCUCCAGGGGGACUGAAGUCUCCAAAAAUUAGUGCAUGUGAUGCAGUUGAAAGACUUGUUGUAUUUCAUAAGUCAUGCUGCAGUUUGGAGGAGCAUCUCCGCAACCAGCAGGGUCGGCAGCCGUACCUCCUCGCUGUUGGGCGUCAGAAGAGCAAGAUUGACAGCCUCUACAUCACCAUGGAUAAGCGUCUCAUCCCAUGCAAGGCAAACCGCUUCCUCGGGGCAUGUGAUGAACUUUUCAAAGCACAUUUUGUGUUUAAUUUGUCUUACGAUGUGGCACUUGUGAAUUUUUAUACAUUCCUGCAGACAACAGUGUAUAACAUUGAUGUGGGGAAAAUGAAGGAGUCACCCAGAGUUAAAGACUUGAGAGCAAGACUGCUUAACCAGCCAGUAGCAUUCUCACCCUGUGAGUAAGAAGCUAUAACAAUGCUGACCUGUUUCAUGUGUUGAAAAACAAGCUAUUUACAGAGAAUUUUCAUGACCAUCAUCAUGCAUUCAGAGUAUUACAAAAUGCGGAAAGAUGUUUACUAAAAAUGUCUGCGCUUAAAUUUCAUAAACCGUUUCAUAUUCAAAGCUCAUACAAUGUUUUGGAUGGAAGUUUGUACAUUAUACCUUCAUUCACAAUGUUUUAAUUCAACUGACUGCAAGGGAGAAAAGGAAUAAAUGUUUUUGAAAAUGUU
Molecule: long non-coding RNA, 1725 nt
Organism: Gasterosteus aculeatus aculeatus (three-spined stickleback)
Lineage: Eukaryota; Metazoa; Chordata; Actinopteri; Perciformes; Gasterosteidae
Source: Ensembl